This is a long non-coding RNA of Ficedula albicollis (Collared flycatcher), 121 nucleotides long. RefSeq lists it as uncharacterized. The record is from RefSeq and is a predicted model, not a curated record. Lineage: Eukaryota; Metazoa; Chordata; Aves; Passeriformes; Muscicapidae. The transcript has 3 exons.
CCCAGGUUCCACUUUUCUCCCCGGUGGCGCCCACGCAGGUUACACUCCACUCCCAGGUGACACCUACGCAGGCGGCAUCUGAGGAACCUCCAGGACGGUGACAGCGACAAGCCCCGAAAAU